CAAGGCUUGACAUAUACGAGAACACCGUGGAAACACGGGACUCUUUGGACACUCGUAAACAGGUGGUGCAUGGUUGUCGUCAGCUCGUGUCGUGAGAUGUUGGGUUAAGUCCCGCAACGAGCGCAACCCUCGUUCUAUGUUGCCAGCACGUAAUGGUGGGAACUCAUGGGAUACUGCCGGGGUCAACUCGGAGGAAGGUGGGGAUGACGUCAAAUCAUCAUGCCCCUUAUGUCUUGGGCUUCACGCAUGCUACAAUGGCCGGUACAAAGGGCUGCGAUACCGUAAGGUGGAGCGAAUCCCAAAAAGCCGGUCCCAGUUCGGAUUGAGGUCUGCAACUCGACCUCAUGGAGUCGGAGUCGCUAGUAAUCGCAGAUCAGCAACGCUGCGGUGAAUACGUUCCC
Molecule: ribosomal RNA, 401 nt
Filed under: uncultured bacterium
Lineage: Bacteria
Description: bacterial SSU rRNA
Rfam family: Bacterial small subunit ribosomal RNA
Source: RNAcentral